Molecule: RNA transcript, 3646 nt
Organism: Hordeum vulgare subsp. vulgare (domesticated barley)
Lineage: Eukaryota; Viridiplantae; Streptophyta; Magnoliopsida; Poales; Poaceae
Gene name: protease 2
Exons: 11
Source: RefSeq, a predicted model, not a curated record
UCCGGCGAACCGAAACGGCAAAACCCCACCUAAAACCUCGCCAGCCGCCACCGCCGACGGCGACCAUGCGCCGUCAUCUCGACCUGCUCCCCCGCCUCCUCCUCCGUCGCCACGUCCACCGCCGCGCCAGGACCGGGGCCUCGCCGCCCCCGCCCCCGCCGCCGAACCCGCCGCGCCCGCCGCAGAAGCCCGAGCCCGUCACCAUCCACGGGGAGACGUGGCACGACAGCUACGCCUGGAUGGGCUCGCUCUCCGACGCCGCCGCCAUGCGCCACAUGGACGUCCACAUGGAGGCCGAGGAGAAGUACGCCGAGGCCUGCCUCGCCGCCGCCGGCGCUGACCGGCUCGCCCGCAAGCUCCAGCUCGAGAUGGCCUCCCGCCUUGCCUCCGACGCCUGCACGCCGCCCGCCCGCUGGGGCCCCUGGCUCUACUACCGCCGCGCGGACGAGGGCAAGCAGUACCCCGUGCUCUGCCGCCGCUCCGCGGCUCUCCAUGGGGAGUUCGUCUCGUACAGCGACCCCUCCGCGGGGUUCGACUUCACCGCCGGGAAGCGCAUCGAACAGAAAUUGGUGGAUUACAACAAGGAGGCUGAGCGAUUCGGAGGAUACUCAUACGAGGAGCUAUCUGAAGUUUCUCCAGAUCACCGCUUCAUUGCGUACACCAUGUAUGACAAAGAUAAGGAUUCCUUCACUUUACUGGUCAGGGAUCUGGUGACGGGCACACUAUGCGAUAAACCUCGUGCUGAUCGGGUCUCAAAUAUUUCAUGGGCCAUGGAUGGGAAAGCACUGGUUUAUAUUGUUACGAAUGAGGACAGAAGGCCAUAUAGGCUGUUUUGCAGCAUUAUUGGAUCAAAUAAGGAUGAUAUUCUUAUAUUGGAAGAACCUGAUGAGAAUAUUUAUUUGAACAUCAGACAUACCAAGGAUUUUCGGUUUAUAACGUUAAAUGUCUUUUCAGACACGCACUCAAAGGUAUAUUUGAUAAGGGCUUCUGACCCCUUGUCCAGAAUGACACUGGUAUGGGAAGGUGAAUCCCAAGUUCAUUGCAUUGUGGAGCACCAUCAUGGACGCCUGUAUUUAUUCACAGAUGUUGCAAGAGAAGGUGUCCAUGUUAAUUCACAUUACCUAAUGCAGUGUGAUGUGGAAUCUCCUGGGCCAAAGAGUUGGAAGAAUGUUUUCCUUGAGGAACCAGGUAUUAUUCUGGAAGAUGUUGACUUUUGCAAUACUCAUAUGGUGCUUAUGCUGAGACAAGGCAGAAAACUCAGACUUUGUUCAGUUAAUCUGCCUCUACCUGAAAAUAUCCAAGUACCUGCUCAUCUAUCAGAUUUUCAACCACUUGACUUGCCUCUUCCCGAUCACGUGUGUCAGAUUUUAUCUGGCCCAAAUUAUGACUACUAUUCCUCAACAAUGCGUUUCACAAUAUCAUCACCUGUGAUGCCAGAUGCAGUUGUUGAUUACAACUUACUAAAUGCAAAGUGGCAAAUAGUGCAACAGCAAAACAUGCUUCAUGAGAGAACAAAGGUACUGUAUGGGAAUGCUUUUGCUUCUAGUGCGGGCAAGCUGUCUUCAGAUGGAGUUGAUUUGUCAAGUGAAGAUUUGGGAGAUCGUGACUGGAAUGAACUCUCUGAAUACUAUGCAUGUGAGUACUAUGAUGUUCCAUCGAAAGACGGAAUUUUGAUUCCACUCACCUUGGUAUAUUCACGAAAGCACAAGCAAGAGGGGAAUCCAGGAUUGCUUCAUGGGCAUGGUGCCUAUGGUGAGAUUCUGGAUAAGCGUUGGCGUAGCGAGUUAAAGAGCCUACUCGAUCGUGGUUGGGUGAUUGCAUAUGCUGAUGUUAGGGGUGGUGGAGGUUAUGGCAAGGAGUGGCACCGGGAUGGUGCACGUACCAAAAAGAUGAAUUCUAUAUAUGAUUUUGUGUCUUGUGGUGAAUUUCUUCUUGAAAAAGGUAUCAUACAAGAAAAUAAGCUUGCUGGAUGGGGAUACAGUGCUGGAGGACUUCUGGUGGCUUCGGCAAUUAAUACUCGUCCAGAUUUGUUCCGUGCCGCUGUUUUAAAGGUCCCUUUCUUGGAUGUUUGCAACACUCUGCUCCAUCCUAUUCUACCUCUUACAGCCAUUGAUUAUGAAGAGUUUGGAUUUCCUGUGGACCAUGAAGAAUGCCUUGCAAUCAAGAAGUAUUCUCCCUAUGAUAACAUCCAGAAGGAUGUUCCUUAUCCAGCUGUGUUUGUGACAUCAUCAUUUAAUACAAGGUUUGGUGUAUGGGAAGCAGCUAAAUGGGUUGCAAAAGUCCGUGAACUUACUCAAUAUGAUCCAGAGCGGCCUGUAAUUCUCAACUUGACAACAGAUGUUGUGGAAGAAAGUAAGUAUUUGGAAACCAAGGAAUUAGCAACGGAGACUGCUUUCCUAAUUAAAAUGGUGAACAAUACCUGAACAACAUGGUUUGCCUUUCGGCUUCCGAAAUUGUUUCUCAAACUCAAUGAUGAGGCCCAUGUGGGACAUGUGCUAAUCCUCCAUGUUCAACGGGAUCUGAGGAUUAGUCCAUUUGUUGGAGCUUAUACGAGAGGGAGUAUGAGAUAGCUGCCCACUGAAGCUAUCUUAAAUGGCCUGAUCUCUUUGCCACCACCGACCUGGUCUCGCAUGGUUCUACCAACUGUAUGAUGUUACAGUUGGAUCAUCUCAACUGAACUAUAUCAGCGAAACAAGUUUGUUAUCUUUCCCCUUCUCAAUCAUGGAAUUGACAUCAUAUGUCAUGAAUUAGAGGUGGAAUACGCCGUCAUCUACUCAUUGGCACAUCAAGUAAAAUUUGACCAAGGUACUUAUAUUGUACAUGGAAAGCUGAUGCUAUACUAAACCUGGUGCUAGGUACUGCAAGCUCGAUUAUUCAUGGCCUUGGAGAUGUACUGCUGCUGUAUAGUAGACAUGCCCUAGGACGGUGAGACCAGAACAUACAUGUCUUAGCAGCGGAAGCGCCAAAUCAUUCUUUCAUCCUUACACUGAAAUUCAAAUUCUCGCAGCUUAUGAACGCGUGUAGCAAAGUAAGGAAUGAACAAAGUGAACUUGGCUUGAUAAUCAAGGAGGGUGGAACAGUUGGAUGGACAUGAAUACCUUAAAGUUUUUGUCGAUGUGGGAGCUUCUACCGAUGCGAAGCUGGAAAGAUGUCACAGGCAUGAAGUACUGCACAUGGGGAUUCAGUUGGAGUAGCUUAUUUGCACUGGUGAUCUUGUUUCACUGCACAAACAGAACUUCCAUCCCGUGCAAUUCGGAUUAGCCGCGGUUAGCAUCAUGGUCUUGCACAUUACUCUGGUCGACACCCUGCAGGCUGGAUGGCAAAUGUACAUUUGUUCGCACAGUACCAUUCAGAACAGGACAAGACAGCUGCAGUUCAGGAGUUGUGAUGUGAACGAUGCGUCUUCGAUUUCUGUUUUCUGGCAAUCGGUACGUUGCCUUCUGAUAAGGUCAACGCCCAGCACGGCGUGCAGUCACCGUGUAGCAUCAUUGUCACUAUUACAUUGGGAGAGUUACCAGUGGCAACGGGAGAUGUUGUGGUUCCCCUUUUAUUUAUUUCAAAUUUGGUAAAAUUGAAAUGGCUGUAUAAACCAACUUGCUGUCCUAUCCUUUCUUAACAUGGGUAAUGUGUGGAAGUGACUGUUUAA